CCUACGGGUGGCUGCAGUCGAGAAUCAUUCACAAUGGGGGAAACCCUGAUGGUGCGACGCCGCGUGGGGGAAUGAAGGUCUUCGGAUUGUAAACCCCUGUCAUGUGGGAGCAAAUUAAAAAGAUAGUACCACAAGAGGAAGAGACGGCUAACUCUGUGCCAGCAGCCGCGGUAAUACAGAGGUCUCAAGCGUUGUUCGGAAUCACUGGGCGUAAAGCGUGCGUAGGCUGUUUCGUAAGUCGUGUGUGAAAGGCGCGGGCUCAACCCGCGGACGGCACAUGAUACUGCGAGACUAGAGUAAUGGAGGGGGAACCGGAAUUCUCGGUGUAGCAGUGAAAUGCGUAGAUAUCGAGAGGAACACUCGUGGCUCGACUACCCUUGUAGUC
This 385-nucleotide ribosomal RNA is filed under the name uncultured bacterium. Its description in RNAcentral is "partial 16S ribosomal RNA". It matches the Rfam family "Bacterial small subunit ribosomal RNA", at positions 338 to 738 of the family's 1533-position model. The record is from RNAcentral.